AUACAGAGGGUGCAAGCGUUAAUCGGAUUUACUGGGCGUAAAGCGCGCGUAGGUGGCUAAUUAAGUCAAAUGUGAAAUCCCCGAGCUUAACUUGGGAAUUGCAUUCGAUACUGGUUAGCUAGAGUAUGGGAGAGGAUGGUAGAAUUCCAGGUGUAGCGGUGAAAUGCGUAGAGAUCUGGAGGAAUACCGAUGGCGAAGGCAGCCAUCUGGCCAAAUACUGACACUGAGGUGCGAAAGCAUGGGGAGCAAACAGGAUUAGAUACCCGGGUAGUCCAUGCCGGAAACGAUGUCUACUAGCCGUUGGGGCCCUUGAGGCUUUAGUGGCGCAGCUAACGCGAUAAGUAGACCGCCUGGGGAGUACGGUCGCAAGACUAAAACUCAAAUGAAUUGACGGGG
This 396-nucleotide ribosomal RNA is filed under the name uncultured bacterium. RNAcentral's name for it is "partial 16S ribosomal RNA". It matches the Rfam family "Bacterial small subunit ribosomal RNA", at positions 523 to 918 of the family's 1533-position model. The record is from RNAcentral.